GGGCCCGCACAAGCGGUGGAGCAUGUGGUUUAAUUCGAUGCAACGCGAAAAACCUUACCUACUCUUGACAUACUUGGAAGCUCUUGUAAUGAGAGUGUGCCUUUUGGAACCAAGAUACAGGUGCUGCAUGGCUGUCGUCAGCUCGUGUCGUGAGAUGUUCCGUUAAGUCGGAUAACGAGCGCAACCCUUACCCUUAUUGCCAGCGAUUCGGUCGGGAACUAUAAGGGGACUGCCGGUGAUAAACCGGAGGAAGGUGAGGACGACGUCAAGUCAUCAUGGCCCUUACGAGUAGGGCUACACACGUGCUACAAUGGGGAAUACAGACGGACGCUAAGCCGCGAGGUGGUGCUAAUCCUAAAAAGUUCUUCGUAGUCCGGAUUGGAGUCUGCAACUCGACUCCAUGAAGUCGGAAUCGCUAGUAAUCG
Molecule: ribosomal RNA, 425 nt
Filed under: uncultured bacterium
Lineage: Bacteria
Description: bacterial SSU rRNA
Rfam family: Bacterial small subunit ribosomal RNA
Source: RNAcentral